AGUGAACGCUGGCGGUAGGCCUAACACAUGCAAGUCGAACGGCAGCACAGUAAGAGCUUGCUCUUACGGGUGGCGAGUGGCGGACGGGUGAGGAAUACAUCGGAAUCUACUUUUUCGUGGGGGAUAACGUAGGGAAACUUACGCUAAUACCGCAUACGACCUACGGGUGAAAGCAGGGGAUCUUCGGACCUUGCGCGAUUGAAUGAGCCGAUGUCGGAUUAGCUAGUUGGCGGGGUAAAGGCCCACCAAGGCGACGAUCCGUAGCUGGUCUGAGAGAAUGAUCAGCCACACUGGAACUGAGACACGGUCCAGACUCCUACGGGAGGCAGCAGUGGGGAAUAUUGGACAAAGGGCGCAAGCCUGAUCCAGCCAUACCGCGUGGGUGAAGAAGGCCUUCGGGUUGUAAAGCCCUUUUGUUGGGAAAGAAAAGCAGCAGGUUAAUACCCCGCUGUUCUGACGGUACCCAAAGAAUAAGCACCGGCUAACUUCGUG
This 492-nucleotide ribosomal RNA is filed under the name uncultured bacterium. RNAcentral's name for it is "partial 16S ribosomal RNA". It matches the Rfam family "Bacterial small subunit ribosomal RNA", at positions 29 to 507 of the family's 1533-position model. The record is from RNAcentral.